RNAcentral lists this ribosomal RNA (500 nucleotides) under uncultured bacterium. RNAcentral describes it as "partial 16S ribosomal RNA". It matches the Rfam family "Bacterial small subunit ribosomal RNA", at positions 30 to 523 of the family's 1533-position model. The record is from RNAcentral.
AUUGAACGCUGGCGGCAUGCUUUACACAUGCAAGUCGAACGGUAACAGGGUGCUUGCACCGCUGACGAGUGGCGAACGGGUGAGUAGUGCGUCGGAACGUGCCGAGUAGUGGGGGAUAACGCAGCGAAAGUUGUGCUAAUACCGCAUACGUACUGAGGUAGAAAGUGGGGGACCUUCGGGCCUCACGCUAUUCGAGCGGCCGACGUCUGAUUAGCUAGUAGGUGAGGUAAAGGCUCACCUAGGCGACGAUCAGUAGCGGGUCUGAGAGGAUGAUCCGCCACACUGGGACUGAGACACGGCCCAGACUCCUACGGGAGGCAGCAGUGGGGAAUUUUGGACAAUGGGCGAAAGCCUGAUCCAGCCAUGCCGCGUGUCUGAAGAAGGCCUUCAGGUUGUAAAGGACUUUUGUCGGGGAGGAAAUCCCCAGCGUUAAUACCGCUGGGGGAUGACAGUACCUGAAGAAUAAGCACCGGCUAACUACGUGCCAGCAGCCGCCGUAA